RNAcentral lists this ribosomal RNA (427 nucleotides) under uncultured bacterium. RNAcentral's name for it is "bacterial SSU rRNA". It matches the Rfam family "Bacterial small subunit ribosomal RNA", at positions 355 to 796 of the family's 1533-position model. The record is from RNAcentral.
UCGAGAAUUUUUCACAAUGGGGGAAACCCUGAUGGAGCGACGCCGCGUGGAGGAUGAAGGCCUUCGGGUUGUAAACUCCUGUCAUGCGGGAACAAGAAAGUGAUAGUACCGCAAGAGGAAGAGACGGCUAACUCUGUGCCAGCAGCCGCGGUAAUACAGAGGUCUCAAGCGUUGUUCGGAUUCAUUGGGCGUAAAGGGUGCGUAGGUGGCGAGGUAAGUCUGUUGUGAAAUCUCGGGGCUCAACCCCGAAAUUGCAGCGGAUACUGCUUUGCUCGAGGAUUGUAGAGGAGAGUGGAAUUCACGGUGUAGCAGUGAAAUGCGUAGAUAUCGUGAGGAAGACCAGUUGCGAAGGCGACUCUCUGGGCAAUUCCUGACACUGAGGCACGAAGGCCAGGGGAGCAAACGGGAUUAGAUACCCCCGUAGUCC